UUGUUCUUCUGUUUUUGACUUUUGUCAAAAUCCCUAAACCCCUUUUCUAUUCGCUUCAUUUAUCCUCUCUACUUCAUCGCUAAUAUCUUCUCCGAUUGCUUCUUUCAUUGAUGUUGCAUUUCAAAUUUAGUAUCAGAGCUACAGUGAAUUGUGUUUGUUAUCAUCCCAGCCUCGUCGUUCGUGUCGAUGCUCCUUCAUUUUUCGUUCGUGACUUCUCAAUCGUAUCUUGCUCGUCAAUUGCUGUUACAUUUGGUCCACACUAUUCGAGUUUUCACAUUCAUCUCCUCUUAGUUGCUGCUGUGUUAAGCUUUGCUUCCUGCCUUAUUUUUGUUCUCCGAUUUUCCUCGGUGAUAUCGUUCUUGAUUUCUUCAGAUCUAUUGGGACAUAGGCUUUACCUUAUCAUGUUGUUCAUGCUGCACCACAAUCAUUGUAUUCUCAACAGACAACGCCUAUAUUGUAGCCUCAGAUAACCUCUCAGACCCUCAUAGCCACUCCAGAAAUAGUAGAUCACAACGUCUGGUAUCCUGACUCAGGUGCCACCCACCAUCUCACCAAGGACUUCAACAAUCUUCAAGUGGGCAGUGCUCAAACUGGUUCAGACAGGUUGAACGUUUGUUUGAUGUCAGGCUUAAGGUGCUUCAAAUGGAUGGAGGCGUUGAGUUUAGUGCUCUUCAGACAUUUUUAAAAGAGCAAGGGAUAACAUAUUUUCUGCCAUGCCUACACACAUCAGAGCAAAAUGGCUUAGUGAAUAGGAAACAUCGUUAAAUUGUAAAAUUUGGGCUGUCCAUGCUUGCUCAAUGUAAU
Long non-coding RNA from Hibiscus syriacus, 804 nucleotides. RefSeq lists it as uncharacterized. NCBI's taxonomy places the organism in Eukaryota, Viridiplantae, Streptophyta, Magnoliopsida, Malvales, Malvaceae. The transcript is spliced from 3 exons. The record is from RefSeq and is a predicted model, not a curated record.